UACGGAGGGGGCUAGCGUUGUCCGAAGUUACUGGGCGUAAAGCGCGCGUAGGCGGGUUGGUAAGUCCGCUGUGAAAGCCCGGGGCUCAACUCCGGAGGGUCGGUGGAUACUGCCAGUCUUGAAGGUGCUAGGGGGAGAUGGAAUUACCGGUGUAGCGGUGAAAUGCGUAGAUAUCGGUAGGAACACCAGUGGCGAAGGCGGUCUCCUGGGGCAUUCUUGACGCUGAGGCGCGAAAGCUGGGGGAGCGAACGGG
This 253-nucleotide ribosomal RNA is filed under the name uncultured bacterium. RNAcentral describes it as "partial 16S ribosomal RNA". It matches the Rfam family "Bacterial small subunit ribosomal RNA", at positions 524 to 776 of the family's 1533-position model. The record is from RNAcentral.